RNAcentral lists this small RNA (88 nucleotides) under Heyndrickxia ginsengihumi. Its description in RNAcentral is "Bacillus ginsengihumi BsrC". It matches the Rfam family "BsrC". From Rfam's summary of the family: The 301 nucleotide sequence from Kouji Nakamura has been trimmed to a highly conserved ~85 nucleotide long core to form this family. The record is from Rfam by way of RNAcentral. Lineage: Bacteria; Bacillati; Bacillota; Bacilli; Caryophanales; Bacillaceae.
UAAACCUAAAACAACGAAAGCCCUACCUCUCUUUCGUCCUAAACGGCUCCUUGGCCGCGCCAAUACGAAUCAGGAAAUUUUUAAACAA